UUUCUCCGUGACUUCAGCCGGGUGUCGGACACGGAAACUGCACACAUCGCGAGGUUCGAUGGCCGGUGGUUUGAGCAACAUGUUCUCCGCGUUACACUUCGCAGAGCAGAGCUGAUUGCCGAGCCAGAAGUAAGUUUUGGCAAGGUGCUGAGAAGGACCAUCAGAUGGCGACAAGAAGCGGGGAAUCGUCUGCAACGACAUCCAUCAGCGCUGCUCAGCGUGUGCUCUGGGAAUGGCCGUUCUGGGAAGACGCAUCAGAUGCAUGCAGAGACAAGUCAAGUCGGACGCACCUGUUUCGCCACAAAGCUUGACCAGGGAAGUGUUA
Sycon ciliatum is the source of this 325-nucleotide long non-coding RNA. RefSeq lists it as uncharacterized. The record is from RefSeq and is a predicted model, not a curated record. The transcript is spliced from 3 exons. Lineage: Eukaryota; Metazoa; Porifera; Calcarea; Leucosolenida; Sycettidae.